UACGUAGGGUGCAAGCGUUGUCCGGAAUUAUUGGGCGUAAAGAGCUCGUAGGCGGUUUGUUGCGUCGGCUGUGAAAUCCCGAGGCUCAACCUCGGGUCUGCAGUCGAUACGAGCAAACUAGAGUGUUGCAGGGGAGACUGGAAUUCCUGGUGUAGCGGUGAAAUGCGCAGAUAUCAGGAGGAACACCGGUGGCGAAGGCGGGAUCCUGGGCCAGUACUGACGCUGAGGAGCGAAAGCGUGGGGAGCAAACAGG
This 253-nucleotide ribosomal RNA is filed under the name uncultured bacterium. Its description in RNAcentral is "partial 16S ribosomal RNA". It matches the Rfam family "Bacterial small subunit ribosomal RNA", at positions 524 to 776 of the family's 1533-position model. The record is from RNAcentral.